RNAcentral lists this transfer-messenger RNA (345 nucleotides) under bovine gut metagenome. It matches the Rfam family "transfer-messenger RNA". From Rfam's summary of the family: Bacterial tmRNA, also known as 10Sa RNA or SsrA, is named for its dual tRNA and mRNA-like properties. The record is from RNAcentral.
GGGGUUGUACUGGUUUCGACGGGGGUUUUGAAGUUCGGGGCGCCAUCCGCAGACCGUGGCUGCGUCAUUAAAACGGAACCUAAAUAUAAACGCUAACAACGAUUACGCGUUAGCCGCCUGAUGCGGCUUGUCGGCCCGGGGCUGCCUACCACCUCGGUCACCGGCAUCAUGAAGGGUGGGGCACUGCCAUGCUUAAGCUUUGCGGCGUGGUUAGUAUCAUGAAGCUACUUAGGCUUUAAGCCCGUCUGCGGGCGUUCGGCCGAGGGAAUGUUUGAUCGCAGACUAUGAUGGUAGGGCCCGGGAGGGAUAGGCUUUCGGACAGGGGUUCGAUUCCCCUCAGCUCCA